AAUCAAACUGUUAUAGUUUUAUUACAUUUUAGUUUUUUAAUAAUAUUCGUAUAGCAGAUGCCUGUCCAUUGCUUAUUUAAAAAAACUCUAAUUCAAUAUUAGUUAUUAUUUUAUUGCCUACUUACAACCUAGGUACUGCCUAUGAUGUCAAUAAGAUUGGUUUUGUAACUUUAUCAAUUGUUUUCAUUCCAGUAAAAGGUGAGUUUUAAAAUAGAAAUAGUGGGUUAAAUCCCUGAAAAUAUAAUAUGCAGGCACCUAUUUGGUGUAUUUAAUGAAGAAGAUUAGUAGGUAUUUAUUAAAAAUGUUAAAUACAUUAUUGUCAUAUGGAUGAUUGUAAAUGUAGCACUUUUUUUUACUUGUAUUACACAUGUAGACACUCAUAUACUAUACAGCCAUAUAGGUAGGUAAGUAUCAUGAUUGUAUUCAAUUAAUCAAUAAGAAAAUACAAUUGUAACAAAUACAUUUUUUUUUUUUUUUUUAGUACCAUGAUUUCAAUAUUAUUUGUAGGAGCACAUAUUGUGGGGUUGUGCAUUGAUUCAUGUUUAAAAAAGGGUUGUAACCCUUUUUUUAACCAGCUGCUGUGGUUCAUUUUCAGAAUUAAAAAAGGGUGCGAAAAAAUCAAAAUGGCUUCUGUGCACAUAAAAAGGGUAAGUUAACCCUUCCUGAAUAUUAUAAUACAGUCUAAAUGGUUUUCUUUUUUUUUUUUUUUAUGCAUCGAGGUUGUAUAGCAGCGCUAGCAGUACAUAUGUUAGAGACUGCGCACCAUCGAUUGAAUCGCAUAUCAUUGGGGAACAGAGACCAGCGUUGUACAGUGAAGAAAAAAAAGGGUAAAUGGCUUUUACUUUUUAGCCAACCACAGUGCUUGAUGCAAAAGAAGCGAAAGAGUUCCUGCCGUAACGUUGUAGUUGUACCAUGUCGAUAGUAAUGCCACAGUUGUAUCGUUGUGUUCGACAAGCACACAUGUUUUGGUUUCAGUUAGUGCUCAUCUUAUUUUAUUUGGUUUUUAUAAACGUUUUUUUUUUUUGCUAAGUUCAUUUAAAUCAAAUUAAAUAUUUUUCUUUUUAGUGUAAACCUAUAAGUGUUUAUUUUUUUAUUAUUAUUAUUGUGAAGAGCCAGCCAAUAGGAUUAAUUAUUAAAAAUGUACACAACAUAUUUUGAUUACAAUGGUA
Molecule: non-coding RNA, 1169 nt
Organism: Cinara cedri
Lineage: Eukaryota; Metazoa; Arthropoda; Insecta; Hemiptera; Aphididae
Source: the annotation of a GenBank genome assembly